GAUGAACGCUGGCGGCAGGCCUAACACAUGCAAGUCGAGGGGCAGCAUGGUCUUCCUACUGAUGGCGACGGGCAAAGGGGUGAGGAACACGUAUGCAUUCUGCCCUUAUCUGGAGGAUGGCCCACUGAAAGGUGGAUUAAUACUCAAUGGUAUUAUUAUUUGGCAUCAAAUAGUAAUUAAAGAUUUAUCGUAUAAGGAUGAGCGUGCGUAAGAUUAGCUAGUUGGUGACGUAACGGCUCACCACGGCGACGAUCUUUAGCUGAUGUGAGAGCAUGAUCAUCCACAUGGGCACUGAUACAACGGCCCCCCUCCUACGGGAGGCAGCAGUGAGGAAUAUUGGGCAAUGGACGGAACUCUCACCCUCCCAUGCCGCGUGAAGGAUGAAGGCGUUCAUCGUUGUAAACUUCUUUUAUCUUGGAAGAAAUCACUUUUUUAAGAGGUGUUGACUGUACCUGAGGAAUAAGCACCGGCUAACUCCGUGCCAUCCGCCGCGGUAAUACCGAGGGUGCAAGCGUUAUCCGGAUUUACUGGAUUUAAAGGGUGCAUAGGCGGCCUGUUAAGUCAGUGGUGAAAUCUCUGGGCUCAACCUCCGAACUGCCAUAGAAACUAAUGAGCUUGAAUGAUGUUAAGGUUGGCGAAACACAUCAUGUAGCUGGUAAAUGCAUAGAUAUGUUGUAGAACACCGAAUAGCAUACGCGGCUGACUAGACUGACAUGUGACGCUGAUGCCCGAGAGCGUGGAGAGCAUACGGGAUUAGAUACAUUAGAAGUCCACGUCCUACACGAUGAUACUAUUCAUACGUGGAUGCUCAUGUUGUGACUAAGCGAAAGCAUUAAGUAAUCCACCUGGAAAUUGCUUGCGCAAGAAUGAAACUCAAAAAAAUAGACGGGGGUCCGCACACGCGGUGGAGCAUGUGGUAUAAUUCGAUGAUACGCGAGGCACCUCACCUCGGCUAGAAUGUGAGAGACGGAUUCUGAAAGAAGUCUUUCUUCAAGGACUCGAAACAAGGUGCUGCAUGGCUGUCGUCAGCUCGUGCCGUGAGGUGUUGGGUUAAGUCCCGCAACGAGCGCAACCCCCAUCUUCAGUUGCCAACGGGUAAAGCCGGGAACUCUGAAGAAACCGCCGUCGUAAGACCAGAGGAAGGAGGGGACGAUGUCAAGUCAUCAUGGCCCUUAUGCCCAGGGCUACACACGUGCUACAAUGGUAAGGACAAUGGGCAGCUACCCGGCGACGGGAUGCCAAUCUCCAAAACCUUAUCUCAGUUCGGAUUGCAGUCUGCAACUCGCCUCCAUGAAGUUGGAAUCGCUAGUAAUCGCGCAUCAGCAAUGGCGCGGUGAAUACGUUCCCGGACCUUGUACACACCGC
This 1365-nucleotide ribosomal RNA is filed under the name uncultured bacterium. RNAcentral's name for it is "bacterial SSU rRNA". It matches the Rfam family "Bacterial small subunit ribosomal RNA", at positions 28 to 1393 of the family's 1533-position model. The record is from RNAcentral.